AGCAGCCGCGGUAAUUCCAGCUCCAAUAGCGUAUAUUAAAGUUGUUGCAGUUAAAAAGCUCGUAGUUGAAUUUCGGGACCAAUAUGUCGGUCGUGCCUCGGUACGUACUGGUGUUAUUGGUUUCUCUCUUCUGAGGAUCCUUGAUGUCAUUAAUUUGGUGUCUUGGGAAAUCAGGACUGUUACCUUGAAAAAUUAGAGUGUUUAAAGCAGGCAUACGCUUGAAUACAUUAGCAUGGAAUAAUGAAAUAGGACGUUCGAUUCUAUUUUGUUGGUUUCUAGGAUCGACGUAAUGAUUAAUAGGAAUAGUUGGGGCAUUAGUAUUCAAUUGUCAGAGGUGAAAUUCUUGGAUUUAUUGAAGACUAACUACUGCGAAAGCAUUUGCCAAGGAUGUUUCAUUAAU
RNAcentral lists this ribosomal RNA (400 nucleotides) under uncultured Glomus. Its description in RNAcentral is "SSU rRNA". It matches the Rfam family "Eukaryotic small subunit ribosomal RNA", at positions 569 to 977 of the family's 1831-position model. Lineage: Eukaryota; Fungi; Glomeromycota; Glomeromycetes; Glomerales; Glomeraceae. The record is from RNAcentral.